Molecule: ribosomal RNA, 450 nt
Filed under: uncultured bacterium
Lineage: Bacteria
Description: partial 16S ribosomal RNA
Rfam family: Bacterial small subunit ribosomal RNA
Source: RNAcentral
AACGAACGCUGGCGGCAGGCCUAACACAUGCAAGUCGAACGGUUGUAGCAAUACAGCCGUGGCGCACGGGUGAGUAACGCGUGGGAAUCUGCCCAGUAGUACGGAAUAACAGUUGGAAACGACUGACAAUACCGUAUACGCCCUUCGGGGGAAAGUUUUUCGCUAUUGGAUGAGCCCGCGUCAGAUUAGCUAGUUGGUGGGGUAAUGGCCUACCAAGGCGACGAUCUGUAGCUGUUCUGAGAGGAAGACCAGCCACACUGGAACUGAGACACGGUCCAGACUCCUACGGGAGGCAGCAGUGGGGAAUAUUGGACAAUGUGCGAAAGCCUGAUCCAGCCAUGCCGCGUGAGUGAUGAAGGCCUUAGGGUUGUAAAGCUCUUUUGGCGGGGAAGAUAAUGACGGUACCCGCAGAAUAAGUUCCGGCUAACUUCGUGCCAGCCGCCGCUGUAA